UCACUUCCGGAAUCCUGAAUAGUCAAUUUGGAAAAUUUUAGAGUUUCCUCUCUAAACUUUGCACUGAACACAACUGUAAUUUUAUCCACAUUCGCUCGAGUUUGAGCUUUCUGGCUCUCGGAGCUGAAAGCCUGCAAUUACUAUAUAAUUCUUCGCAAUUUCAGAUGUCCUAAUAUGGACUGUAAUUUUUGCGCAAGACAAUUUCCUGCUAUUUCAAGCAUCAACAUUGUCAAAGUUGUAUGUACAUAAUAAAUGUGAAUAUCAAUGCAUAGUUUUUAGCAUAACAUCUUGACUCCUCGAUAAUUAUAUCCGUUUGGAGCCCACGCAGAAUUGCUUGAAUUACAUGGCAACAGCAACGCUCUAAUUUUUUUUAAAAAUUGCUCAUAAUUUCGAAAGAUUACCAAGUUCUCGAGAGCAGAAUGUCAUCAGCGUAAUGAAGAGUAAACAUUUAUGCUAAUAAUCUGCAAUCUUUUCAUCAGCUAUAAAGACAGGCUAUAACAGAAAUGCAGUCAUAUUCUGCAUCGAUAUUGAGCUAUUUAGAUAGUAGAUCUGCGAGCAGCAAUUCACUCAUAUGAGGUUUUUCCUUAGCAUUAAGACAAAAUCUCUUCCAAUGACUCAAUAGAACCGACCAGCUUGUCUGAAAAGAACAAGCAACAGCUGCACGCUGACUUCAAGAAAACCUGCUCAUUUCCACUCCAGAGAACCUGCUCUUUCCCACUCCCCUGAGUUUUGCCCCAUUGUCUUAGUCCAACAAAUGCCAAGCUAUGACUAUAAAAAUAUUGAAUCUCCUUCAUAAAGUAAACAUUAAGUUUACACAUUCACAGUGAAAAGGUGCGAGAUGGAAAUUGAUAGUUAGAUUUGUUUGGUUAUGUCUGACAAGGACACAGUACCACAAUGAAAGUGCAGUGUUUUGGGUAAUGCCAAAGUUUACAUUAAUGGAGAAUCUGGUUCAAUGAAAGAAUGGCUUGAAAGUUUUGUAAAAAUGCCAGUACAGGUAUUUUGCAUGAGUAAGAGUAAAAUUAAAGUCCUACACUUUAUUAUUAUUAUCAUCCCAAUUAUGCUUCAACAAUAGGGCACAAAUGUCUAUAAUUUUCCUGCAGUUUCAAACCAAGUUCUCGUUGAUUCCAUUGCUCCUGAAUGUCGUUGAAUGUUUGACAAAGUCAGAGACACUUGCAAACAAUUAAUAGAAACAAAGUGUUGGAGUCAGUGGGGCAGGCAGCAUCUCUGGAGAAAAAGGAUGGGUGAAGUUUCUUGUGACUGAAGAGGGUCACCGAUCCUUUUUCUUCACAUUUGCUGCCUGACCCGCUGAGUUACUCCAGCACUUUGUAUCCAUCUUUGGUAUAACCAGCAUCUGCAGUUUGUUGUUUCUGCAGACAAUUAAGGUCUUCAACAAUUCAGAGUGAAUGCAUUUCUAUGGGAUCUGUGAUCAAUAAGGCCCUGCAAUCCUCAGGACUUUGGUAAUCAGGUAGGAGUGAACUUUCCUGAAGUUAAUGCUGGGUGCUUUAGACUUUAUAUCAGAUUUUACAGAUACAGCUAAACAGGCUCUUCGGCCCGAGUCCACGCCGACCAGUAAUCACCUGGGCACUUGUUCUAUCUUAUACACAAGGACAAUUUACAAUUUACAGCAGCCAACUAUCCUACAAAUCUGUACGUCUUUGGAGUGUGAGAGGAAACCAGAGCACCGAGAGGAAACCCACGUGGUCACACAGAGAACAUACAAACUCCAUACAGACAGCACCUGUGGUCAGGAUUGAACCCGGGUCUCUGGCACUGUAAGUCAGCAACUCUACAGCUGCGCCGCUGAGCCGCUGCUUCAAGCUGCACAUGGCCCUGAUGAGUCCAUUGAACGUCUAAUUUACAUAUAUUAAACUCAAAUAAUGCUCCCAAAACUGAAAAAAUUUGAAUCUGAAAUGAAGCAAACAGUUUGUUAGCCAUAUGACUACAUUUUCUAUUCCAUUCUUGCAAUGGCGAUGCAAUAACUGGGCCUAUAUUUCCACUUUAUUUAACGUUAUAUACAAACAAGGAAGAUUUAAAUGUUACCAGGAAAUCAACCUUUCCGUGGUGGACUGUUUAAAACAAACGGGUGAUUAAGAAAUCUGCGUUAGAGGAGUCACACCUCAAAGUUUCUCAGAAUAUCAUUUCUAUCAUGUUAUUGAUAUGGUUUUUUUAUGUCAUGAAAGUAAACAGAUUUAACUAGUAGGAUGAAUUUCUUAGACAGAAGGUGGUAAAUCCGUGGAAUUCAUUGGCCCAGGCGGCUGUGGAGUCAUUGGGUAUUUUUAAAGCGGAGAUUGAUAGGCUCUUGAUUAAUGAGCAUUAAAGGUAAUAAGGAGAAAGCACGAGAAUGGGGUUGAUAGGGAAAUUAGAUCAGCCAUGAUCAAAUGGUGGAGCAGUCUCGAGGGGCCGAAUGGCCUAAUUUUCCUCCAAUGUCUUAUGAUCUUAUGAACUAAUUUCCAGAGACAUAGCUCAGAUCAUUUUAUUUUGAAAGGUAAUCAACUAUACAAGUGUGGACUGGAGAUUUCUAUGUAAUUAAUGAUGAAUGAUAAAAUCAUUUUCAUAUCAGUCUUAACUAUAAAGAAACAUGGAAUAGAAUAAAUUUACUUUUAUUUUAUAAGGAUUACACAUUUCAUGUAAGAUCAUUCAGAUAGGAAAUUGCCAUGAAGCACACCAUUAAAGACAGGAAAAUAAAUCUGUCCAUGCCAUUGUUUGAUGUGUAUCCCAACACAUAUUUCCUAUCCAAGGAGAGCCAGUGCUACCUUUCCUUUCGUUAUAUUAUCACUGGGCUCCAUCUGGCCAAUUGUCCUACUCCCACCACUUUUUGUACAAGAAAUCCAUUCUUUCCAUGCCAAAUGGAGAGCAAAAAGACUCCAUUACAAAAAUAGAUUCUUGCCAAAAACAAAAUGCUAUUUUCCAAAUUUCAUAUGUUGUUACAAUUAAUAGUCAGGAAUAUUUAAAAAACAUUUUACAAAAUUUAUGUCCAUUUCUUUUCCUCAGGGUUGCAAUCAACAAUGUCUUGCACAUCAAUCACGUUCUGGAGUCUUCACACUAACGUUAAAAACCGUGACCCGAGGGGAGAUUUUGUAAAAGGCCAAUGUGUGGGAAGUAAGUUGGAAAAUUUCCCCUCCAACUCCUUCACACAGUUCUCCAUCUUCUUCAAAGUUCAAUAUAACAAGAUGAGAACAUGGACAAUUCUAAUAGAUAAAAUCAAAUUAGGAAAACAAUAUUACAGAGUGCACAUAACCGAUGCAUCAAUCUGAAAAAUGAAAGGUUAAUUAAGAGAAAAAUGUUCAUUACAAAAAUGGUCUAAAAACAUGUUGAAACUGUCAUGCAUGGGGUAGAAAAAAGUCUCAGUGCAAACCAAUAUAUUUACUUUUAUCCAUCAGAUACCAACAGUGAAGAAUGCAUUUAUCACAAUGUUUAGUUUAUUUCAUGUCUUCCAUGUCACAUUUUUUAUUUUAAAAUGAUCCAGGUAGUCUACAAAUUAUUUGCACAAAUAAUAUAUUGCAGAAUUGCUGGUAUCGGGUUACUUCUAUGGAUAAAUUGUUGUAAACAAAUACCUGUCAG
Molecule: long non-coding RNA, 3561 nt
Organism: Leucoraja erinaceus (little skate)
Lineage: Eukaryota; Metazoa; Chordata; Chondrichthyes; Rajiformes; Rajidae
Exons: 3
Source: RefSeq, a predicted model, not a curated record